Molecule: transfer RNA, 59 nt
Filed under: Ictidomys tridecemlineatus (thirteen-lined ground squirrel)
Lineage: Eukaryota; Metazoa; Chordata; Mammalia; Rodentia; Sciuridae
Description: Spermophilus tridecemlineatus (thirteen-lined ground squirrel) tRNA
Rfam family: tRNA
About the family: Transfer RNA (tRNA) molecules are approximately 80 nucleotides in length. Their secondary structure includes four short double-helical elements and three loops (D, anti-codon, and T loops).
Source: Rfam by way of RNAcentral
UAUAGCUCAGGGUAGAGUGCCUGCCUAGCAUGCAGGAGGCCCUUGGUUCAAUCCCAGUA